GGGCCUGUAGCUCAGCUGGCUAGAGCACUUGGUUCGCAAUCAAGGGGUCAGGAGUUCGAAUCUCCUCAGGUCCACCA
Molecule: transfer RNA, 77 nt
Filed under: Parcubacteria group bacterium CG2_30_36_18
Lineage: Bacteria
Also listed under: 4 other names
Description: tRNA-Ala
Rfam family: tRNA
About the family: Transfer RNA (tRNA) molecules are approximately 80 nucleotides in length. Their secondary structure includes four short double-helical elements and three loops (D, anti-codon, and T loops). Further hydrogen bonds mediate the characteristic L-shaped molecular structure. tRNAs have two regions of fundamental functional importance: the anti-codon, which is responsible for specific mRNA codon recognition, and the 3' end, to which the tRNAs corresponding amino acid is attached (by aminoacyl-tRNA synthetases). tRNAs cope with the degeneracy of the genetic code in two manners: having more than one tRNA (with a specific anti-codon) for a particular amino acid; and 'wobble' base-pairing, i.e. permitting non-standard base-pairing at the 3rd anti-codon position.
Source: RNAcentral